CUAAUACCGCAUACGCCCUGAGGGGGAAAGCGGGGGAUUCUUCGGAACCUCGCGCAAUUGGAGCGGCCGAUGUCAGAUUAGCUAGUUGGUAGGGUAAAGGCCUACCAAGGCGACGAUCUGUAGCGGGUCUGAGAGGAUGAUCCGCCACACUGGGACUGAGACACGGCCCAGACUCCUA
This 178-nucleotide ribosomal RNA is filed under the name uncultured Thauera sp. Its description in RNAcentral is "partial 16S ribosomal RNA". It matches the Rfam family "Bacterial small subunit ribosomal RNA", at positions 163 to 341 of the family's 1533-position model. The record is from RNAcentral. Lineage: Bacteria; Pseudomonadati; Pseudomonadota; Betaproteobacteria; Rhodocyclales; Zoogloeaceae.